This 251-nucleotide ribosomal RNA is filed under the name uncultured prokaryote. RNAcentral describes it as "partial 16S ribosomal RNA". It matches the Rfam family "Bacterial small subunit ribosomal RNA", at positions 525 to 775 of the family's 1533-position model. The record is from RNAcentral.
ACGUAGGGUGCGAGCGUUAAUCGGAAUUACUGGGCGUAAAGCGUGCGCAGGCGGUUCGCUAAGACAGGUGUGAAAUCCCCCGGCUUAACCUGGGAAUGGCACUGGAGACUGGCGGGCUUGAGUGCGGCAGAGGGGAGUGGAAUUCCAUGUGUAGCAGUGAAAUGCGUAGAGAUGUGGAGGAACACCGGUGGCGAAGGCAGCUCCCUGGGCUGAAACUGACGCUGAGGCGCGAAAGCGUGGGGAGCAAACAG